CCCACCUCUCUGCCGUCGCCAGCCGCUCGGUGGAAAAAGCGGCGGCCUUUGCUAAAGCUAACAACUUUCCUCCCGAUGCCAAGAUAUAUGGCUCCUACGAGUCUCUCCUCGACGACCCAGAUAUCGACGCCGUCUAUGUUCCUUUACCCACCAGUCUUCAUGUGAAGUGGGCCUGUUUGGUAGCUCAGAAGAAGAAGCAUAUCUUGUUGGAGAAGCCUGUGGGACUCAAUGUUGGUGAGUUUGACAAAAUUUUGGAUGCUUGCGAGGUUAAUGGAGUGCAGAUUAUGGAUGGUACCAUGUGGAUGCAUAAUCCCAGAACCAAGAAGAUGCGAGAGUUCUUGGCUGAUAAGGAGCGUUUUGGAGAGCUCAGAACGAUACACAGUACUUUUACAUUUGCUGGUGAUGAGGAUUUUCUGAAGAAUGACAUUCGUGUCAAGCCAGAUCUUGAUGGUCUUGGUGCUCUUGGAGAUGCUGGGUGGUAUCCUAUUCGGGCAAUCCUCUGGGCCGCUGAUUAUGAAUUGCCAAAGACUGUUAUAGCCUUGCGUGGACCUGUUUUAAAUGAAGCGGGUGUGAUUUUGGCCUGUGGGGCUUCUUUACAUUGGGAAGAUGGCAAAGUAGCAACAUUGCAUUGCUCUUUUUUAACGCAUUUGACCAUGUUUGUUACUGCAAUUGGAACAAAGGGAACUUUGCACGUUGAUGAUUUCAUCGUUCCUUUUAAUGAGAAGGAAGCCCCUUACACUACAUCUUCAAAAUCUUGGUUCAAUGAACUUGUGACAGGGUGGGAACCGUUGCCAAGCCAGAACAUGGUCUUCGUAGAUCUCCCUCAGGAAGCUUGCAUGGUGAGAGAAUUUGCUAGGUUGGUUGGAAAUAUCAAGGUGAAUGGUGCAAAACCUGACCAAACGUGGCCAACUCGCAGCAGGAAGACACAACUCAUACUGGAUGCAGUAAAGACAUCAAUUGAGAGAGGUUUCGAGCCUGUUGAGAUUGCGAAUUGAUUGAGGCUUAUCCUGCCUGUAAGUGUCUGUUUAUUUGAUUCAGAAUUCUCUUUGGUGCAAGCAAGGUUGUUGUUGUUGUUGUUGUU
RNAcentral lists this unclassified non-coding RNA (1081 nucleotides) under Hevea brasiliensis (rubber tree). Lineage: Eukaryota; Viridiplantae; Streptophyta; Magnoliopsida; Malpighiales; Euphorbiaceae. The record is from RNAcentral.